This 301-nucleotide ribosomal RNA is filed under the name uncultured bacterium. Its description in RNAcentral is "partial 16S ribosomal RNA". It matches the Rfam family "Bacterial small subunit ribosomal RNA", at positions 509 to 809 of the family's 1533-position model. The record is from RNAcentral.
CAGUAGCCGCGGUAAUACGGAGGGGGCUAGCGUUGUUCGGAAUUACUGGGCGUAAAGCGCACGUAGGCGGCUUUACAAGUCAGAGGUGAAAGCCUGGUGCUCAACACCAGAAUUGCCUUUGAGACUGUAUCGCUUGAACGUCGGAGAGGUGAGUGGAAUUCCGAGUGUAGAGGUGAAAUUCGUAGAUAUUCGGAAGAACACCAGUGGCGAAGGCGGCUCACUGGACGACUGUUGACGCUGAGGUGCGAAAGCGUGGGGAGCAAACAGGAUUAGAUACCCCAGUAGUCCCUGUCUCUUAUAU